Molecule: ribosomal RNA, 496 nt
Filed under: uncultured bacterium
Lineage: Bacteria
Description: partial 16S ribosomal RNA
Rfam family: Bacterial small subunit ribosomal RNA
Source: RNAcentral
GAUGCACGCUAGCGGCAGGCCUAAUACAUGCAAGUCGAGGGGUAGAGCUAGCUUGCUAGCUUGAGACCGGCGCACGGGUGCGUAACGCGUAUGCAACCUACCCUUUUCUGGGGGAUAGCCCGGCGAAAUCCGGAUUACUACCGCACAACACCACGAUACGGCAUCGUGAUGUGGUCAAACAUUUAUGGGAGAAGUAUGGGCAUGCGUGCCAUUAGAUAGUUGGCGGGGUAACGGCCCACCAAGGCGACGAUCGCUAGGGGAACUGAGAGGAUGGCCCCCCACGCUGGUACUGAGACACGGCCCAAACUCCGACGGGGGGAAGCAGUAAGGAAUAUUGGUCAAUGGGGGCAACCCUGAACCAGCCAUGCCGCGUGCAGGACGACGGCCCUCCGGGUUGUAAACUGCUUUUGUACGGGAAUAAACCCCGCUACGUGUAGCGGGCUGAAUGUACCGUAAGAAUAAGGAUCGGCUAACUCCGUGCCAGCAGCCGCGGUAA